RNAcentral lists this ribosomal RNA (424 nucleotides) under uncultured prokaryote. RNAcentral's name for it is "bacterial SSU rRNA". It matches the Rfam family "Bacterial small subunit ribosomal RNA", at positions 355 to 796 of the family's 1533-position model. The record is from RNAcentral.
CAAGGAAUUUUCCGCAAUGGGCGCAAGCCUGACGGAGCCACGCCGCGUGCAGGAAGACGGCCCUCGGGUUGUAAACUGCUUUUGUCGGGGAAGAUAAUGACGGUACCCGACGAAUAAGCCCCGGCUAACUCCGUGCCAGCAGCCGCGGUAAGACGGAGGGGGCAAGCGUUGUCCGGACUCACUGGGCGUAAAGGGCGUGCAGGCGGCCUUAUGCGUCGGCGCUGAAAGCGCCCGGCUUAACCGGGCGAGGUGCGUCGAUACGAUAGGGCUAGAGGUAGUGCGAGGCUGGCGGAAUUCCGGGUGUAGUGGUGAAAUGCGUAGAGAUCCGGAGGAACGCCCGUGGCGUAAGCGGUUAGCUAGCACUGACCUGACGCUCAUGCGCGAAAGCGUGGGGAGCGAACCGGAUUAGAUACCCCCGUAGUCC